RNAcentral lists this long non-coding RNA (351 nucleotides) under Elaeis guineensis (African oil palm). RNAcentral describes it as "long non-coding RNA (EGUI_LNC019667)". The record is from RNAcentral. Lineage: Eukaryota; Viridiplantae; Streptophyta; Magnoliopsida; Arecales; Arecaceae.
UACCUAUUGGGGAAGAAUUAUUGUCAAAUAUUGAUUAUAAAGAAAUUAUAAAAAAUUUUGCAUUAUAAAAUACACGUAAAUUAAUUUUUCAAUGAUAAUCAAUAUUUAAAAUAUAUUAAUUUUUAAUAGAAAAGGUUUUAUUUUUUUAUUUGGCCCCAGAUCUAAAAAAUGUUAGGGCCGGCCCUACCAAUUGUGCCCCUCGUAUGUCAUAAAAAGUUACGAGUUAUAAUCAUUUUAACAUGAUUCUAAAUAAAGAUGGUAAUUUGAGCCAAUCCAUGGGAUAUUUGAUCUAGUCCACUUUGAAUAGGAUAGAUUUUAUCUGAUUCAAUUAAAAUUCGAAACAAAUAUGGC